This is a non-coding RNA of Heterocephalus glaber (naked mole-rat), 2265 nucleotides long. NCBI's taxonomy places the organism in Eukaryota, Metazoa, Chordata, Mammalia, Rodentia, Bathyergidae. The record is from RefSeq and is a predicted model, not a curated record.
CACACACACACACACACACACACACACACACACUUCAUGACUCAGAGCUUAAGAGGCUUUGCAUUUCAUCCAGUAGGCACUGGGAGCUGUUGAAAGUUUUCAGUGAUGGAGCAUCUGAUGAGAUUGUUGUUUAGAGACAUUGCCCUGGUGGUAGCAUAGAGGAUGUUUUAGAGAAUUGAAAAGUUACUUAGAAGGCCAUUUGGAAAAUCAGGUGAGAAAAUAUGAUGGGCUCUAAGUUUGUACUAGUCAAAAUAGAAAAGAGGAAAUAGACCUGCAAAGUAGUUGGAAUCCUUGGAAUUUGUUUACCAUUUAGCAUUGCAGAAAGAAAAGUAAAGUAAAGAAAAAAGUUUUUGAAGAUGACUGUCCAGCUUAACUGACCAUAUGAAUAGAAGCAGAAGAAAGCAAGAAGAUUCUAAGUUUAGUUUUAACAAUGUUGAUUUGGAAAACCGAUAGGACACCCAGAAAGGAAAGAUCAGUAAAUGAUUGGCCGUGCUGGUCUUGGGUGGGCAAGGUGUCAGUACUGCUCAGGGUGAGUAGAAUGAGAAGAGAAGAGUGACGGGGAUGGAACAGUGAGAAAAUGCCAAUUUAGGAUUUGGCUGCAGUGACCCUAUGAGGCAUGACCUGGAAGAUCCACAGGUGGCCAAGGUGCAUCACUUUUUUGUCAUUCUGUUCCUGAAUUGAGCAGUAAGGAUUAAGUAUACUACACACCCCUCUUUAUUUAUAAUCAGAGUAUUUAUUUUUCAAUUACUUUCAAUUCAUGAAAUUUAAGUAGAUCACCGUGAUUUACACAUAAGUCAAUGAGGGCAUCAAACAAAAGAAAGGUUGGUUGAGUACUCCCCUGUAUUCUUUAUAAUUGUCCCCAUUCUUAGGCAUGGAAACUGACACUGCAUCAAGCAUGUGUGUGUUAGUCAGCUUUCAGCUACUGUAAUAAAUUAUUUGAGAUAAACAAUUUAUAAGGAGUAAAACUUUAUUUUGGCUCACGGUUUUAGUACAUGAUCACUUGGCCACGUUGCUUUGGGCCUGUUUCAGCACAGUACAUCAUGGUGGGAGUACAUGACAAAGGAGGUGCUCAUCUUAUAGCCACUGAGAGGGAGGGAGAGAGAGAGAGAGAGAGAAGGGGCUGGAGUCCCUAUGUCCCCUUCAAGGGCACUCUCAAUGACCAAAGAUCCUUCUACCUAGGUCCAGUUCCUAAAGGAUCCAUCACCUCCCAAUAUCCCCACAGUCUGGGGACCAAGCCUGCAACAUAUGAGCCUUUGUGGGCCAUUUCAGAUCUAAACUAUAGCAAUACUAUAUGUAAGUGCCAUACCAGUCGAGUUUUACCCCCUCACCUCCCUACUAACAAUUCUAGAGCCAUAGUUGCUGCAAGAUAGUCUCAUCUUAAGGGGCUGGGGAUUUAGCUCAGUGGUUUCGCUGCCUGCUGCGAAAGUGCAAGGACCCGAGUUCGAGCCCUGGUACCAAAAAAUAGUCUCAUCUUUUUCUCAAUGAUUCAGUGCAGAGUUUCCAGUAAGUAUAGUGUUCCUUUUGAUGGCUUUUUAAUACCUACAUCUCCUACUUCUCCAAAUCCCUCAACUAAAAUAACCUUCAUCGUUCCACUUCAGCUGUGCACACAUGCCACACCUCAUAGAUCUGCUCCACUCUCAGUGUUUCCAACUCUAUUAGUCUCCUCUUUGAAAGAGCCUUCAUAUAUCUGGUCCUUCCUUUCUGUUUCUCCUAAACUAUCUCCUUUUCUUUCUAUCCAUUUCCUGUUCUGUCCUUGUUUUCCUGUCUAGGAAGUCAGGGAAGGAGGAGGCUGGCAACCUUUUCAAAUAUCUGCUUCUGUAUCCAGCUCAGAAAUAAUCAAAUGGUUUGUUGGUUCCAUGGUUCAUGAAUUCUUUAUUACAGUAGGAGUCAUCAAUUGGAUGGAGAAUCAUUGAAAUUUCAUCAUAGAAUCCUGCUGUCUUUGCACUGGGCUGGUGCUCCUUUUGUUCAUCUCCAAUGCUGCUGAUUGUUUUAGAUGAUUGGACUGAGGACCCCAAGAUAAGAGAUUUGCAAGGACAUUCAACUACCAGUGAGGACCCAGAACUCUCCAGUAAUUGCCCUAAAACUAUGGAUUCAGGUGAAGCCUCUGCAAAACUGAGACUGCCCCAAACAGAAGCAGUCAUCUCAUGGAAACCAGAUUAAGUGAUAAAGAUCUCUCCUCAGACCCAGAAUGCAAAACCAGAACUGACAAAAUGAUCACCCCUAGUCCACCCAGACAAUUCCAUUAAAGCUGGUCUCAUUCCUUUA